UAGGUGCCACACCAAGGAAAUUUGGCCUGUGAACUCCCAAAGGAGGUAGCAACUAAUUCUGCGCCCCACGCCCUCCCACAUCCCUCUCCCUCUCUGCGAUCAGCGAACGCUUUUUGCUUUUGGCUCUGAAUUUCGAAGGAAGGGUAUUCCAGGUAGAAGGGACAAGCCCAAAGGUCUUAAGAUAGUAAAUGCUCCUUCAGAGGUGGCUCAUGCUUGACACUUUGGGGCAUUUGCCCACUUAGGGUUGUGGUAGUUGUGUCCUGAGACAGACCCCAUGCUUUUCAUAGCUGGAGCAUUCUCAAUACCAGUGUCGGAGGUGACGCAGCUGAGGCCCUGCUAAGUAGAAAUGAGAAUCCAGAGGCUCAUCGCCGGGCUGUCUCUCAGUCAGUAAGAACACCAAGGAGAGAGGGGAGAUGCAGGGAGUCAGGGCUGGGGGCGCUAGCGGGAAAGGGAGCGUUGAGCGCCUGCAGAGGCCGCUGCGAGCCCGGAACCCUCCUUGGGGAGUCCCGGCAGCGGCAGACGAUCCAGGCCGGAGCCAUGCGCAGACACAAGGCAUGCUGGGAACUGCGAGCCAGCCGCGGGUCUUCGGGCUUCGUGGGCCUGGGAGGCGCCGGGAAAAGCAGUCGCGACGGGGUUAGGGACGAGACACCGCAUUCACUGGAAGGGACAACCCGGCGCCAGUACAUAGCCUGAAACGCUCCCCAGAGAGUCCCACGCUUGCUGCGCCGUCCCCAACUGGAUCCAGCACUCGCCCGCCCGCGGUGUCUUGGCAAGCGCUAGGCUUGUCGGGAAGAGCGGAAGGGCGCAAGCGCGGCGCUGGCCGGAAGUGCCGAGCUGUCAGUGCAGGGCUCGCCGGGAAAUGUGGUUCCUCCAGGCGGCCCGGGGCGGUGGCCGCAAGUUCUGCGGACAGCGCGGCCGAUCAGGCGUGGACCCGGGAUGGCUGGACCGGGCAGCACCGGGGGCCAGAUUGGGCCCGGGGCCCUGGCAGGCGGCGCGCGGUCCAAGGUAGCCCCGAGCGUGGACUUCGAUCACAGCUGCUCGGACAGUGUCGAGUACCUGACGCUCAACUUCGGGCCCUUCGAAACAGUGCAUCGCUGGCGGCGCCUCCCGCCCUGCGACGAGUUCGUGGGUGCCCGGCGCAGCAAGCACACAGUGGUGGCCUAUAAAGAUGCCAUUUAUGUAUUUGGUGGAGACAAUGGGAAGACCAUGCUCAAUGACCUCCUGCGGUUCGAUGUGAAAGACUGCUCCUGGUGCAGGGCCUUUACCACUGGGACCCCGCCGGCCCCCCGUUACCACCACUCGGCCGUCGUCUAUGGGAGCAGCAUGUUUGUCUUUGGGGGUUACACUGGGGACAUUUAUUCCAAUUCUAACUUGAAGAAUAAAAAUGACCUCUUUGAAUACAAGUUUGCAACUGGCCAGUGGACGGAGUGGAAAAUUGAAGGACGGUUGCCAGUCGCUAGGUCGGCCCACGGGGCCACGGUGUACAGUGACAAGCUGUGGAUCUUUGCUGGCUAUGACGGCAAUGCCAGGUUGAAUGACAUGUGGACAAUUGGCCUCCAGGACCGAGAGCUCACCUGCUGGGAGGAGGUGGCCCAGAGUGGCGAGAUCCCCCCGUCUUGCUGCAACUUCCCCGUGGCCGUGUGCCGGGACAAGAUGUUUGUGUUCUCCGGGCAAAGCGGAGCCAAGAUAACCAACAACCUCUUCCAGUUUGAAUUCAAGGACAAGACGUGGACACGCAUCCCAACUGAACACCUGCUCCGGGGUUCCCCACCACCCCCGCAGCGGCGCUACGGGCAUACCAUGGUGGCCUUUGACCGCCACCUCUAUGUGUUUGGGGGUGCGGCCGAUAACACGCUGCCCAAUGAGCUGCACUGCUAUGACGUGGACUUCCAGACCUGGGAGGUCGUCCAGCCCAGCUCCGACAGCGAGGUCGGUGGGGCUGAAGUGCCCGAGCGAGCCUGUGCUUCUGAGGAGGUGCCCACCCUGCCCUUUGAGGAGCGAGGCGGCUUCAAGAAGUCCCGAGAUGUGUUCGGCCUGGACUUUGGCACCACCUCAGCCAAGCAGCCCGCCCAGCCCGCCUCGGAGCUGCCCAGCGGGAGGCUCUUCCACGCGGCUGCUGUCAUCUCGGACGCCAUGUACAUCUUCGGGGGCACGGUGGACAACAACAUCCGCAGCGGGGAGAUGUACAGGUUCCAGUUCUCCUGUUAUCCUAAAUGCACGCUGCACGAGGACUACGGGCGGCUGUGGGAGAGCCGCCAGUUCUGCGAUGUGGAGUUCGUGCUGGGUGAGUGCAUUAUUCUUUGUGCAGAAGGAGGAGUGCGUGCAGGGCCAUGUAGCCAUUGUCACAGCGCGGAGCCGCUGGCUUCGCAGGAAGAUCACGCAGGCACGGGAGCGGCUGGCCCAGAAGCUGGAGCAGGAGGCCGCCUCAGUUCCCAGGGAGGCCCCCGGCGUGACUGCUGGUGGGACCCGGCCGCCCCUGCUGCACGUGGCCAUCCGGGAGGCCGAGGCCCGGCCCUUCGAGGUGCUCAUGCAGUUCCUUUACACCGACAAGAUCAAAUACCCACGGAAAGGCCACGUGGAGGAUGUGCUGCUCAUCAUGGAUGUGUACAAAUUGGCACUGAGCUUCCAGUUGUGCCGCCUGGAGCAGCUGUGCCGCCAGUACAUCGAGGCCUCCGUGGACCUGCAGAACGUGCUGGUCGUGUGCGAGAGUGCCGCCCGGCUGCAGCUGAGCCAACUCAAGGAGCACUGCCUGAACUUCGUGGUGAAGGAGUCCCACUUCAACCAGGUGAUCAUGAUGAAGGAGUUCGAGCGCCUCUCCUCGCCGCUGAUCGUGGAGAUUGUGCGGCGGAAGCAGCAGCCACCCCCUCGCACUCCCUCGGACCAGCCAGUGGACAUUGGCACAUCUCUGAUCCAGGACAUGAAGGCAUACCUGGAGGGGGCGGGCGCAGAGUUCUGUGACAUCACGCUGUUGCUGGAUGGGCACCCACGGCCAGCCCACAAGGCUAUCCUGGCCGCCCGCUCCAGCUACUUUGAAGCCAUGUUCCGGUCCUUCAUGCCCGAGGACGGGCAGGUGAACAUCUCCAUCGGGGAGAUGGUGCCCAGCAGGCAGGCCUUUGAGUCCAUGCUGCGCUACAUCUACUACGGCGAGGUCAACAUGCCGCCCGAGGACUCGCUCUACUUGUUUGCGGCCCCCUACUACUACGGCUUCUACAACAACCGGCUGCAGGCGUACUGCAAGCAGAACCUGGAGAUGAACGUGACGGUGCAGAACGUACUGCAGAUCCUGGAGGCAGCCGACAAAACGCAGGCGCUGGACAUGAAGCGGCACUGCCUGCACAUCAUCGUGCACCAGUUCACCAAGGUCUCCAAGCUGCCCACGCUGCGGUCGCUGAGCCAACAGCUGCUGCUGGACAUCAUAGACUCCCUGGCCUCCCACAUCUCAGACAAGCAGUGUGCAGAGCUGGGCGCCGACAUCUGAGGCCCUGUGGCGCCUGCCCAUUGUGAAGAAUUGCCGUGCCUGCCUGCCCUGCCCACUGAGAAGACUACUGGCUAUGCGCCUGCCUAUGGCAGAGUGGGUGCACCUGCCAGGCCGAGGGUCGGGGUGCCCAGAGCCUCCAAAGAGAGCUGAGGGGAUAUGGGGCCCCAAUCUCAAUUCACUGAAGACACAGGUCCCACAGAGAACAGACGAUAGCAGAUGAUGAAGCAGACCCCCUCCCCUGUCAUCACCCUCUCCUGAUGUGGUGUGGAUGUGAGGCCACGGCUCAGUAAUGGGCUCACCACCCGGAAGUGGGGAGAGACCUUGGGUCUCCCACCCAGUGGUGCUUGGCCUGGCUCCUAUGGCCUAGGUGUUUUGUAGACCCACGCACUGGGGCCUGUCACCAAGGCUCCUCCAACAUGUGGGAGGAGGCUUAGCAGACUUGCGCUGCACCAUGGAAUCUGCCUGGGCUGCUCCUGUCCCGCCCACCCUCACUGAGAUCCAUGUAAGGGGCUCCUUUUCCCACCCGGAACUUGUGAGUGUGGACCCAUGAUGUGUGGGUCUCACCUGACUUAAGGUGAAUUUUGGAGUAAGGGCCCUGAGGUCAGCUCCCAGGUCGGUCAUGCUGGGCCAGGCCUGGUUUUCACAGGUGCUGAAGGAUCCCAGUCCACCUGUGUGCAUGUCAGGGCUCAGCCGGGACGAAGCCAGCCAAGUCCCGCAUGUCCCUUGCUGAGUAUUCUGUCACAGACAAGCCUCCAUUAAAGCCACAGCAGUGCUACCUACCACAUACACCUUGCUGGCCCAGCCACCACUGCUGGCCUCAGCCCCUCGGCCCUCCUGCAGCCGAGGACUGGCUCUGGAGCCCAUGGCUUAGCAGAUCCCCAGAUGUAGGUCAGUUGGUCUUACCUGUCUCUAUCCAUGCUGUCAACUGCCCCCACCUGGGGAUCUGCUAAGCCACCCAGUCACACUAGGGAGAAGGGCUAUGAAGGAAUCCAGGCUGGCCCCUCCCAGGGGAAUCCUGGAGGCCUGGGGUGGGCUCCUGCCCCUUCUGCCCUGCCUUGCCCCUGCACUGUGGUCUUGGCUCCUGUGGAAGGCAGGCUGCCCUCUCGCCCUAGUGAGGGCCCCAUGUGAAUCCACUCUGAUGCUGGGGAACCAGUGCUCCCUUAUUGGGAAGAGGAUUCCAGGACCCCUUUUUUGUCGUGGCUGCCAUGAAGCCACAACUCACCUUAGGGAAGUGACCUGCUCUCCUCUGGCUGUAUGCAGGUGGAAGGGGGCCUUGAGUGGCAAGUUGCUUAGCUAACAGGAACAGAUCCAUAGGCAGCCUGCAGGCUAGGAAGUAGCCUGGUGCAAGAUGAGCUGGGAACAAGGGAGGAGCGAGCGGGAGCUAGGGCAGAGGCUGAGCCAGGAGGCCCAUGCAGUGAUGACACAGCAGGCCCAGGACCAUGGCUAGGAGGUAUAUGUCAGCACCUGGAAGUGGAGUGCAGGCUGGGGCAGCCAGCCAUGUGGGCCAGGUGCAUUCACGCAGAGUGGGGCCACAGAGCCACCUACCCAGUUUCCACAUGUGGCUCCUGCCACACCCACAGGGCAGCCUCCUCCAAAUCCCUCUCCUGGACAGGUCAGCCCAGAAGCCUCCUUGAACUAGUCUGCAAACCCUGCUCUAUGCUGACCCUUGUCGCUAAACCCUCAACUGUCUCUUCUUGACUUAUAUGAAUAAAUGAAAUUAUAUGCCAAGGGCCCUAAAAAGCAAA
Cercocebus atys (sooty mangabey) is the source of this 5223-nucleotide RNA transcript. It is a transcript of the gene named leucine-zipper-like transcription regulator 1, with no coding region annotated. The transcript is spliced from 21 exons. Lineage: Eukaryota; Metazoa; Chordata; Mammalia; Primates; Cercopithecidae. The record is from RefSeq and is a predicted model, not a curated record.